GCUCAGACUUCCCCCUGGUCUUUGGGUGUCUAAUGCACUGACAUCAACAGGCUAAGAAAGGAAUAAGAGUUUUCAGACGGUGGCUGAUCCAGAUUAUUAAAGGGAAAUCGGAUUGCUUCUCCACGAUGGAGGCAGCUGGUCAUCACCACUUGGCCCAAGACACUGGUAUGUUUCUGGCUCCAGUGCUACCAAGGCAAGACACUGGAGACCUUUGUCAUCUGCCCACCAGAAGGAAUUCCAUUUCUAAAGUUCCACUGAGAUCGGAGCAGUGGCAGAAGCAAGUGGAAGUGAGAAGGGGCUGGAGGACGUCUGGGAGAGCAAAACCAAAUGUACCCCGCGGGAGGCCUGGCAGGACAGGCCUUCCAUCAUCCGGUUUCCAUUAAUUCUUGGAACCAGAGCCUCCCUGGCACACGGGCAAGGAAGACAAGGUUGAUUUUAUGCUCAAAAAAUUGGCUUAGGGCUGGUGAAAUGUCUCAGUGGGUCAAGGCGGGAAAAGGCACUUGUGGUCAAGUUUCAUGGCCUGAGUUUGAUCUCUGGGACCAAACGGUGUAAAGAUGGAAUUGACUCCUAAAUGUCCUCAAGACAUACGUGCUGUGGCAUGUUCACGUGCGCAAACACACACACACACAUACACACACACACAGAAACACCCACACAGAGAAACACACACAGAUACAAACAGAAAUAGACACACAGACACACACACAACACACACAGAAACA
Long non-coding RNA from Peromyscus maniculatus bairdii (prairie deer mouse), 722 nucleotides. RefSeq lists it as uncharacterized. The record is from RefSeq and is a predicted model, not a curated record. Lineage: Eukaryota; Metazoa; Chordata; Mammalia; Rodentia; Cricetidae.